Drosophila ananassae is the source of this 596-nucleotide long non-coding RNA. RefSeq lists it as uncharacterized. The transcript is spliced from 4 exons. Lineage: Eukaryota; Metazoa; Arthropoda; Insecta; Diptera; Drosophilidae. The record is from RefSeq and is a predicted model, not a curated record.
UGGAGUCCUCUUUUGGCAGGACGCCAGCUCCAACGGAGGGUGUCUGGUGCUUCCGGUCGGCGGAGUUCGCGGAGUCCGAGGAGUCCGCGCCCGGGUGCUAUCGUUUUUAAUGGUGCACGUCCAAUUUGAUUACAACUGUCAUCUGUUUUGGGCCCCGCUGCUGCUGGGGUGGCCAGUAAUUGGCCAAAAAAAGCAAAACACCAUUUGGGCCACUGUCUAAUGAAGUAAUUUCAAUUAGCGGUCGUCGAGGCUGGCGGAGAGAAGCUCCAGCCAGUUGCACAAGAAGGCGUCGCAAAAUUUCAGAGAUUUUUAAAUUCCACAAACUAACAACUUGGAUGCUCUGGAAAUUCAGGUUUUGACUUCAGUUUGUGCAAGAGAUUCAAGAAGAGCUUGUUAUUCAUCUUUAAGAGGUUAUUGGAUAACUGCAUGAUAUCUAAACAGAUAAUCCUCUGCGAUAAGUAAGACGAAAAAGGAUUAAACCGGCAAGAGUCCCACACCGGAAACUGACAAUAAGGAUAUUCUUCCUUUUUAUUAAACAUUAUUUACAACACUAUUAUGAAUUGUAACAUAUAAAAGUUGAAAAUGUACUAAAAUUA